GGGUUCCUUCACAGAAAGGUUCCUUACAGGAAUAAUGAAUAGUAACAGGAGCAUGCACUUCAAGUCUCUGCUGUCAGCAACAAUAGCAGGCAGGCAAGCCAAUGGCAGAAAGGGAGAAGAGCUGCAGAAGACAAGGCUGCAACUCGGUCCAGCAGCAGCUUGGCUUUUGUGUCCUCUCUUCCUUCUAAAAAGGCAUUUGGAAUUUAAGGGAAGUUCUAUGAUGACAGAAACAGCGGGCAGGAGGAGAUGGGAAUAACUAUAAAGAAGCAAUUUUCUUGUGAAGUUUGGUGGUUUCUGAAAACCCUGGACGUUGGAGUCAAGUGAAGAGACGAGAAGUUUAGCUUUCAUUUUUUUAAAUAAUAAAGCAUGUUUUUAUCUGUUGUGGUUGUGGUGGAUGCUUAAAAAUGUGACUGAAGCCUCUGAAGCUAAUUGGCAAAUAAAAAGAACUGCCCCACACUUCUCUUUGUUGUUUUUCAUUCUAUGAUUAGUGAAUGAUUGGGGUUAGUAAUCCCCAAUUAGUCUUAUAAUUCUUUAUAGAUUAUUAUUCUUUAUAAGAUUAUUAAAGAAUUAUUCUUUCUUUAAAAUAUACUUUUCUUUCCAUGUUCUUGGUACAGAAGAUUUUAUAGCUCAGGUGUGAAGAU
Molecule: long non-coding RNA, 641 nt
Organism: Alligator mississippiensis (American alligator)
Lineage: Eukaryota; Metazoa; Chordata; Crocodylia; Alligatoridae
Exons: 4
Source: RefSeq, a predicted model, not a curated record